Neogale vison (American mink) is the source of this 358-nucleotide long non-coding RNA. RefSeq lists it as uncharacterized. Lineage: Eukaryota; Metazoa; Chordata; Mammalia; Carnivora; Mustelidae. The transcript has 3 exons. The record is from RefSeq and is a predicted model, not a curated record.
UCCGCCUUCUUUGUGGACUCUUUCAACUCCUUGUUGCCGGUCCUCCUGCUCACUCGCCCUCUCAACCUGGGCGUACGUCACACAUACACGAAUCCUCCGACUGCCCGACGGUCAGCGGGGACCCUGUUUGUAGCCCUGUCAGAGCUCCUGAAGCAGACGAGCCAGAUACGCCGUGUCCACAUUCCCAACUCACUGAAACUCUGAGGAAAAGAUAACCUGCCCCCCUGCCAGCACUCAAAUUCUGGUCAACAAAGGACUGCUCUCAAUCUGAACUGGCAAGAUAGAGGGAAGUGCUUUGAAGACUGGGAAACUCUGAAAAUCCUUUCGAAGGCAAAAUUAAUGACCUAGAGACUGCUUC